GUGGUGGAGAGGCGUGAUACUUCUAUUUACUACAGAAUUUAAUUUGACUUGUAAUAAAGUCUACGAAUAGUACU
Molecule: non-coding RNA, 74 nt
Filed under: Picochlorum oklahomense
Lineage: Eukaryota; Viridiplantae; Chlorophyta; Trebouxiophyceae
Source: RNAcentral